RNAcentral lists this ribosomal RNA (280 nucleotides) under uncultured Staphylococcus sp. Its description in RNAcentral is "partial 16S ribosomal RNA". It matches the Rfam family "Bacterial small subunit ribosomal RNA", at positions 83 to 354 of the family's 1533-position model. Lineage: Bacteria; Bacillati; Bacillota; Bacilli; Caryophanales; Staphylococcaceae. The record is from RNAcentral.
CCUUUGACGUUAGCGGCGGACGGGUGAGUAACACGUGGGUAACCUACCUAUAAGACUGGGAUAACUUCGGGAAACCGGAGCUAAUACCGGAUAAUAUUUCGAACCGCAUGGUUCGAUAGUGAAAGAUGGUUUUGCUAUCACUUAUAGAUGGACCCGCGCCGUAUUAGCUAGUUGGUAAGGUAACGGCUUACCAAGGCGACGAUACGUAGCCGACCUGAGAGGGUGAUCGGCCACACUGGAACUGAGACACGGUCCAGACUCCUACGGGAGGCAGCAGGGC